UUCAACCCUUAAGCCUCGCUGCUUAGCGUUGGGGAGCUACCGUCUUGUGCGGUAACUCUCUAAAGUAGUGGCGGAGUCGGUUCUCACUCUAAGCGUAGUACUAUAUAUCUCGCUUUUGCAGUAGUAUCGUCCCUCGCCGUAAAACACCCCAAUUUAUCAAGGUUGACCUCGGAUCAGGUAGGAAUACCCGCUGAACUUAA
Molecule: unclassified non-coding RNA, 200 nt
Filed under: soil metagenome
Description: partial contains internal transcribed spacer 2 and large subunit ribosomal RNA
Source: RNAcentral